RNAcentral lists this long non-coding RNA (1034 nucleotides) under Musa acuminata (dwarf banana). Its description in RNAcentral is "long non-coding RNA (MACU_LNC001773)". The stretch from base 91 to 216 matches the Rfam family "MIR162_1 microRNA precursor family", at positions 1 to 92 of the family's 112-position model. The record is from RNAcentral. Lineage: Eukaryota; Viridiplantae; Streptophyta; Magnoliopsida; Zingiberales; Musaceae.
GCGGACAACAUGAUUGCCACAGUAAGUGAUCCCCAUCUCGAAUCUCAUAUCUCCUCUCCCUUUUCGUCCUCCUCGCAGCAAUCGAGUGAUCUCUGGACGCAGCGGUUUAUCGAUCUCUUCCUGGCCUUGUCGGUCUCUUUUCGGGGUGGAUUCGAUGGUUUCUUUUCUUGCUGAGGUUACAAAGCCGGAAUCGGUCGAUAAACCUCUGCAUCCGGACUUCCGCCGACAACCAUUCCUCCGUCCUCCCCCCAACCCAAAACACUCCCCCCCCAACCCCACCUUCUUCCUCCACUUGUUUUCGUCAUCUUAUAUAAUGAUUGGGCAAUGAAGAGGUGGUAGCUGUUAGGGCUAAUUGAUACGGCCGAUUCGAUGCCGAUUUCGAUCCCUUUUUUUUACUCAGAUUAUUGUCGGCAUUCUGCAGAAUUUCAAUCAACGAAUAAUGGUGCCAUCAGCAUUUAGAUCGAUUCAAAAUGGGUGACGUCUUGAGUUGUGAUGAUGGACAGAGAAAACAGUAAAUAUGUUUGAUUUAAUGUCUCUCAGUUCUUUCUUAUGCCUUCAAUUUUUCAUUGUUCUUUUGGAUUCGUUUAUCAUUUCAUUAUCUUCACCAUUUGAUCUAUCCAUAUUUUGGAUUAUUCACUGAAUAGGACGUAAAUGUUUUGUAUUAAACAGACAGCAGAGGACUACUAGAAAUCUUUAUUUACAGAAACUACCAUUAUUGGUUAAUUCGUCAAGGAUGAGAGGUCGGAAUAUACUCUGAGAUGGCUUAAACUUUGCUUUGGGAGGACUAAAUGGGGAAAAUAAGCUCAACUGGUCAAAUUAAUGUGACAGGAUGGCACAGUUUUUAUGAAGAUGAUUGAGAUAUAUUCCAUAUUUUGAUGUUUAAACAGUUAGCCUCAGAAAUAUUUUUCAUUUAAUUUAUUCCUUCUACCAAGAUUUGUUGUUCUCCAUGGAUGUGAACCUCCCUAUAUUUGUUAUGUUUGCAAUGCUUGAAGGUGAAUCUGUAUAAAGAAUUUAAACAUAAAUAUUUUUCUAAC